This 292-nucleotide ribosomal RNA is filed under the name uncultured bacterium. Its description in RNAcentral is "partial 16S ribosomal RNA". It matches the Rfam family "Bacterial small subunit ribosomal RNA", at positions 505 to 796 of the family's 1533-position model. The record is from RNAcentral.
GUGCCAGCAGCCGCGGUAAAACGUAGGAGCCAAGCGUUAUCCGAAUUUACUGGGCGUAAAGCGCGUGCAGGCGGCUCGAUAAGUUGGCUGUGAAAUCUCCUGGCUCAACUGGGAGAGGCCGGUCAAGACUGUCGGGCUGGAGGGCAGUAGAGGGAGGUGGAAUUCCCGGUGUAGUGGUGAAAUGCGUAGAGAUCGGGAGGAACACCAGUGGCGAAAGCGGCCUCCUAGGCUGUACCUGACGCUCAGACGCGAAAGCUAGGGGAGCGAACGGGAUUAGAUACCCCUGUAGUCC